Molecule: ribosomal RNA, 688 nt
Filed under: uncultured bacterium
Lineage: Bacteria
Description: bacterial SSU rRNA
Rfam family: Bacterial small subunit ribosomal RNA
Source: RNAcentral
GGGUGAGUAACGCGUGGAUAACCUGCCUUGUACAGGGGGAUAACACCUGGAAACAGGUGCUAAGACCGCAUAAGCGCACGGUCCCGCAUGGGACAGUGUGAAAAACUCCGGUGGUACAAGAUGGAUCCGCGUCUGAUUAGCCAGUUGGCGGGGUAACGGCCCACCAAAGCGACGAUCAGUAGCCGGCCUGAGAGGGUGAACGGCCACAUUGGGACUGAGACACGGCCCAAACUCCUACGGGAGGCAGCAGUGGGGAAUAUUGCACAAUGGGGGAAACCCUGAUGCAGCAACGCCGCGUGAGUGAAGAAGUAAUUCGUUAUGUAAAGCUCUAUCAGCAGGGAAGAAAAUGACGGUACCUGAGUAAGCAGCCCCGGCUAACUACGUGCCAGCAGCCGCGGUAAUACGUAGGGGGCAAGCGUUAUCCGGAUUUACUGGGUGUAAAGGGAGCGUAGACGGUAAAGCAAGUCUGAAGUGAAAUGCCAGUGCUCAACACUGGAACUGCUUUGGAAACUGUUUGGCUGGAGUGCAGGAGAGGUAAGUGGAAUUCCUAGUGUAGCGGUGAAAUGCGUAGAUAUUAGGAGGAACACCAGUGGCGAAGGCGGCUUACUGGACUGUAACUGACGUUGAGGCUCGAAAGCGUGGGGAGCAAACAGGAUUAGAUACCCUGGUAGUCCACGCGGUAAACGAU